Molecule: ribosomal RNA, 1152 nt
Filed under: Candidatus Uhrbacteria bacterium GW2011_GWA2_42_220
Lineage: Bacteria; Candidatus Uhriibacteriota
Description: bacterial SSU rRNA
Rfam family: Bacterial small subunit ribosomal RNA
Source: RNAcentral
AUGAGAGUUUGAUCCUGGCUCAGGUCGAACGCUGGCGGUGUGUCUAAGGCAUGCAAGUUGAGCGAACUUUAUUUCUUCGGAAGUUAAGUUAGCGGCAAACGGGAGAGUAACGCAUUAGUAAUUCACCUUGUACUCGUGAAUAGCCCAGAGAAAUCUGGAGUAAUACACGAUAUGAUGGGGGGACAAAAGUCAUUCCCAUUGAAAGUUCCGACGGUGCAAGAGAAGCUUAUGUUCUAUCAGCUAGUUGGUGAGGUAAAGGCUCACCAAGGCUACGACGGAUACCGGGCGUGAGAGCGUGACCCGGCUCACUGGGACUGAGACACGGCCCAGACACCUACGGGUGGCUGCAGUCAAGAAUCUUCCGCAAUGCACGAAAGUGUGACGGAGCGACACCGCGUGUCGGAUGAAGGCCUUCGGGUCGUAAACGACUGUUCUGAGGGACGAACUUUGACGGUACCUCAGCAGAAAGGGGUUGCUAACUCUGUGCCAGCAGCAGCGGUAAUACAGAGACCCCGAGCGUUGACCGGAUUUAUUGGGCGUAAAGCGUUAAAACAUAAAGGAAUAGACGGGGACCCGCACAAGCGGUGGAUCAUGUGGUUUAAUUCGAUGGUACGCGAGAAACCUCACCUGGGCUCAACUACUAGCUGCAAGCUUUAGAGAUAAAGUCGCUUUUGAAGGUGCUAGAUAGGUGCUGCAUGGUCGUCGUCAGCUCGUGCCGUGAGGUGUACCCUUAAGUGGGGUAACGAGCGCAACCCCUGUCGUGUGUUAUACUUUCACACGAGACUGCCUUCGUAAGAAGGAGGAAGGAGGGGAUGACGUCAGAUCAGCAUGGCCCUUACGUCCAGGGCAACACACAUGAUACAAUGGCCGGUACAGCGAGAUGCCAAGUCGCGAGACGGAGCAAACCUCUAAAAACCGGUCCCAGUUCGAAUUGGAGUCUGAAACUCGACUCCAUGAAGCCGGAAUCGCUAGUAAAGGCGGAUCAUAACGCCGCCUUGAAUACGUUCUCGGGUCUUGUACUCACCGCCCGUCACGUCAAGAGAGUUGGUGGUGCCCGAAGGUCGUUGUAGGACGGCCGAAGGCAAAAUCAGCAAUAGGGACGAAGUCGUAACAAGGCAUCCGUAGCGGAAGCUGUGGAUGGAUCACCUCCUU